Molecule: non-coding RNA, 3049 nt
Organism: Monodelphis domestica (gray short-tailed opossum)
Lineage: Eukaryota; Metazoa; Chordata; Mammalia; Didelphimorphia; Didelphidae
Source: RefSeq, a predicted model, not a curated record
AGAAAGAAAGAAAGAAAGAAAGAAAGAAAGAAAGAAAGAAAGAAAGAAAGAAAGAAAGAAAGAAAGAAAGAAAGAAAGAAAGAAAGAAAGAAAGGAAGGAAGGAAGGAAGGAAGGAAGGAAGGAAGGAAGGAAGGAAGGAAGGAAGGAAGGAAGGAGAGAAAGGAAGGAAAGGAAGGAAAGGAAGGAAAGAAAGGAAAGGAAGGAAGAUUUAGAGAAAGGAGAGAAAAGGGUCCAGGAAAGAGCCCUAAGGAACUACAACAUCAAGAAGGCAGUAAAUGAAUGAUACAGUAAAAGACAUUGAGAAGUCAUUUUAAGUACAGGCAGAGGCAGUGCAGUAGCCAUCUUCAAACCCCUCUCAUUCAGGCACAAAGUGGUGUCUGUCCUUGCUUUCUCUGUCCACACUUGUGUGAUUCCAAGUGUUGAUGGCACAUCUUUUGCUUUCUUUGUUCAUUCUUCCAGGGACUCUAAUGACCUCACAUUAUUUCUCUUUGUUUUGUCACCAAAGUUGAGUAACUGUAUCUUGGUUACAAUGUUAGGGCAACAGUUCCCUUUGAGGGCUACUGCUUUUGAAAACCAGAAGCCUUGGCUACAUCUCAAUUCAUUGCCACAGAGUCUCCAGUUUUGACGCUCUCAUUUUUGCACACACACACACACACACACACACACACACACACACACCCUCUCCAAUUAUAAGAAGAUGCAUUUUUCUCCUCCACUUUCCCCUGAGUGUGAGGAAUGCCUAGAUGCCUAGUGCCUGAACAUCCAUAGUCCUAGAACCUUGGCACACACAUGCCCUUAAUUUAAGCCCUGGGAAGUAGCUCAGAGGAUGUGUGCUUAGGGUUACAAUAUUUGUUGACCCUGACCACAUCUUGUCAUCCUCGUCUCUGUGCCAGGCAAAGACUGGUUUCUGGGCAACGAGCACAGGGUAGAAACCCACAUAGAGUACCUCAGGGGUACAAACCACAUCUCUCCUCAUGCUAUCCCCCAAAGGGGAGGAACAACCAGGAACAUAGGUAUAACAUCAUACCAGAAAGACAAGCCCAAGAUCAAGUGCCCUGUAUCCAUGAUGAUUAUCCAGCCAUGCCUCCACCUUUGUUUUCUUCACACUCUCACCACUGCAUGCACGUAGGCCAGUCUGAACAAUGAUGAAAUGAGGGCUUUUCUCCUUGAAGAUUGCAUAUACCAAACAUGUGUUUGGUUUCCUUCCCUGCAGAGUUAAACUGGCUCAUUUCCUGGGACAUCUUGUGAAAUGAUCUCAUCCCUCCUCCACCUCCCUGCAACACUGAAGAUAUUGUCCAGGAGACAGACAUGUUCGUACAAAUGGAGUCUUUCCUGUUUUCACCUUUUAGUUCACUCUCCGGGGGUAACUUUCACAAUUUAUUCUUCCGGUAUUAAUUCUGAAGCUGUGUUUAAUUCAUUAUCCAAUGUAGUUCUUUCCAAGUUUUUAAAAAAUUAGCCUGCUCAUCAAAUAACUCCUUUUUUCUUUUUGAAAAAUUAUAUUUAAUUCAUUAAUUUAGAAUAUUUUUCUAUGGUUACAAGUUUCAUUUUCUUUCCCUCCCCUCCUAUAGCCAACACGCAAUUCCACUGGGUUUUACAUGUGUCAUUCAUCAAAUAACUUCUUAAAGAACAUAUUUGUAGAACAAUUAAGAGGUUAGUGAGAUGAGAUGGUUCAGAAUAACUUCCUCACUGGAGGAAAGAGGGUUAGCGAAUAUGUCGGGUCAUUUUCAACAGCAAUCUUGAAGGUUUCUUUAUCAGCCACUGAGGUAGGGAAUUGUAGGCAGCACUCCAAGGGCAAUCAGCUGCUCUAAAACCUACAAUUCCAAUUGCCAGCCAAGCUUUUGGCAAUUUCCCCCCAAAAGGCAAUCCCCCAGACUAGUCAUAAGGGCUUUAUGUCCUGGAGGUGGUAGACAUUACUGAGUGGCACAACUUCUUUGCUGAAGUGGUCAAUCCUCUUCUUUGGACAUGGGAAAGGCUAACAUUUGUAUAGGGCCUACUCUGUGCCAGACACUUUUCAAGUGUUAUCUCAUUCAGGCUGUACAAAAAUGGUGCAAGUGCAUCAUCAUCAUCUCAAUGUUAUAGAUGAUAAAACUGAGGUUAAGUGACUUUCCCAGGGCCACACAGCUGGUAUCUGAUUCUGGGUUUGAUUCUAGAUGUGGCUACCUAACUGCCCAGACCUUCUUGCUUCAACCUCCUAGGAAGUGGGAUUCAAGUGCUCAGAAUUAAAGAUCUUGGCAUUUAGCAGCCGCAGUGUUGGUUAUUUAUUAAUAAUAUGUGGUUAUAAAGUCUUUCAACAGUAGGCACUUUGGAGUCUCAUUUUCAGGGUAGGUUUCAACCCAUACCCAAUCCAUGCCUUCCCAAGACAAUAUUAAUCAUUAUAACUUCAGCUAUUUGAAUAAAAUCUGCCCAUGUGUUGACAAGGGACUGUACUGGCAGGUGAUGUAUAUUGCUUUUUCUUCAUUUUGAUUGGCUUCCCAAUUUGCCUAUGGAAUGGAGCAAAUGUGGAAUGGCUGUUGAAGGAGAAUUUGGAGAUCAGUCCAUUGUUUGCUGUAACAAAUCGUCCCAUUCCCUCUUUGCUCAUGUGAGAAAAGUGAAAAAGGCUCCCUCGUCUUCACUCCGUCUGAGGAGUGCCUUAGGGUCUGGGCACAAAGCCCAGCAGCCAGCCUCCCUGCAGCUUUUUCAGGUACAGGGCUGGAUCCUAGAGUGAGGUAAGAUGGGCUCUGCCUAAUGAAGGCUGGGAGAAAGGAACAACCAUGAAGCUGAAGCUCGAGACAGGACUCUGCGGAGCUAGUUCUAGUGCACCGUGCAGUGAGCAGCAGUAAGUACCUUUAGUGGGACAUGGUUUAGUAGGUAAAUUGCAAAGCACAUGCAUGAUUUUUAAUUUGGCUUUUUGCAGCAAGGUAACUUCUUGGCUGACUGUGGAGGGUGGAUGGGGAGAAUUAGACAGAGAUAGGGAGAGAGACAGAGACAGACAGAGACAGAAACAGAGACAGAGGGAGAGAGACAGAGAUAGAACAAAGGCAGAGAAACAGAGACAGGCAAACACAGAGA